UUCCAAACUGCUAUCCUACACAGUGAAGC
Molecule: non-coding RNA, 29 nt
Filed under: Mus musculus (house mouse)
Lineage: Eukaryota; Metazoa; Chordata; Mammalia; Rodentia; Muridae
Source: RNAcentral